This 389-nucleotide ribosomal RNA is filed under the name uncultured bacterium. RNAcentral describes it as "bacterial SSU rRNA". It matches the Rfam family "Bacterial small subunit ribosomal RNA", at positions 29 to 416 of the family's 1533-position model. The record is from RNAcentral.
AUUGAACGCUGGCGGCAUGCCUUACACAUGCAAGUCGAACGGCAGCACGGGAGCAAUCCUGGUGGCGAGUGGCGAACGGGUGAGUAAUAUAUCGGAACGUGCCCAGUCGUGGGGGAUAACGUAGCGAAAGCUACGCUAAUACCGCAUACGAUCUACGGAUGAAAGCGGGGGAUCGCAAGACCUCGCGCGAUUGGAGCGGCCGAUAUCAGAUUAGGUAGUUGGUGAGGUAAAGGCUCACCAAGCCGACGAUCUGUAGCUGGUCUGAGAGGACGACCAGCCACACUGGGACUGAGACACGGCCCAGACUCCUACGGGAGGCAGCAGUGGGGGAAUUUUUGGGACAAUGGGCGCAAGCCUGAUCCAGCAAUGCCGCGUGCAGGAUGAAGGCC